Non-coding RNA from Caenorhabditis elegans, 54 nucleotides. The record is from Ensembl. NCBI's taxonomy places the organism in Eukaryota, Metazoa, Nematoda, Chromadorea, Rhabditida, Rhabditidae.
UAAAGUGGGAUUGAGACGCAUAGAAAAAGAGUAUCUCGUUGUCUGCGUCUAUUC